UACGUAGGGUGCGAGCGUUGUCCGGAAUUACUGGGCGUAAAGAGCUCGUAGGUGGUUUGUCGCGUUGUUCGUGAAAACUCACAACUCAAUUGUGGGCGUGCGGGCGAUACGGGCAGACUGGAGUACUGCAGGGGAGACUGGAAUUCCUGGUGUAGCGGUGGAAUGCGCAGAUAUCAGGAGGAACACCGGUGGCGAAGGCGGCAUCCUGGACCGACACUGACGCUGAGGAGCGAAAGCCAGGGGAGCAAACGGG
This 253-nucleotide ribosomal RNA is filed under the name uncultured bacterium. Its description in RNAcentral is "partial 16S ribosomal RNA". It matches the Rfam family "Bacterial small subunit ribosomal RNA", at positions 524 to 776 of the family's 1533-position model. The record is from RNAcentral.